RNAcentral lists this ribosomal RNA (383 nucleotides) under uncultured bacterium. RNAcentral describes it as "bacterial SSU rRNA". It matches the Rfam family "Bacterial small subunit ribosomal RNA", at positions 28 to 412 of the family's 1533-position model. The record is from RNAcentral.
GACGAACGCUGGCGGCGUGCUUAACACAUGCAAGUCGAGCGGUAAGGCCCUUUCGGGGGUACACGAGCGGCGAACGGGUGAGUAACACGUGGGUGACCUGCCCUCAGCUCUGGGAUAAGCCUGGGAAACCGGGUCUAAUACUGGAUAUGACUCCAUGACGCAUGUUGUGGGGUGGAAANCCUUGUGCGGCUGAGGAUGGGCCCGCGGCCUAUCAGCUUGUUGGUGGGGUGANGGCCUACCAAGGCGACGACGGGUAGCCGGCCUGAGAGGGCGACCGGCCACACUGGGACUGAGACACGGCCCAGACUCCUACGGGAGGCAGCAGUGGGGAAUCUUGCGCAAUGGGCGAAAGCCUGACGCAGCGACGCCGCGUGAGGGAUGAC